AUUGAACGCUGGCGGCAGGCUUAACACAUGCAAGUCGAGCGGGGGAAGGUAGCUUGCUACCGGACCUAGCGGCGGACGGGUGAGUAAUGCUUAGGAAUCUGCCUAUUAGUGGGGGACAACAUCUCGAAAGGGAUGCUAAUACCGCAUACGUCCUACGGGAGAAAGCAGGGGAUCUUCGGACCUGGCGCUAAUAGAUGAGCAUAAGGCGGAUUAGCUAGUUGGUGGGGUAAAGGCCUACCAAGGCGACGAUCUGUAGCGGGUCUGAGAGGAUGAUCCGCCACACUGGGACUGAGACACGGCCCAGCCUCCUACGGGAGGCAGCAGUGGGGAAUAUUGGACAAUGGGGGGAACCCUGAUCCAGCCAUGCCGCGUGUGUGAAGAAGGCCUUAUGGUUGUAAAGCACUUUAAGCGAGGAGGAGGCUACUCUAGUUAAUACCUAGGGAUAGUGGACGUUACUCGCAGAAUAAGCACCGGCUAACUCUGUGCCAGCCGCCGCAGUAA
RNAcentral lists this ribosomal RNA (501 nucleotides) under uncultured bacterium. RNAcentral's name for it is "partial 16S ribosomal RNA". It matches the Rfam family "Bacterial small subunit ribosomal RNA", at positions 30 to 523 of the family's 1533-position model. The record is from RNAcentral.